GGGGGGAUAUUGCACAAUGGGCGCAAGCCUGAUGCAGCGACGCCGCGUGGGGGAUGAAGGCCUUCGGGUUGUAAACUUCUUUUGCUCUGAACAAGGCGCACUUUGGGGUGUGUUGAGCGUAGGGGUUGAUUAGCGCCGGCUAACUACGUGCCAGCAGCCGCGGUAAUACGUAGGGCGCGCGCGUUGUCCGGAAUUAUUGGGCGUAAAGGGAUUGUCGGUGGCUGGUUGCGUCUGUCGUGAAAGCUCAUGGCUUAACUGUGGGUUUGCGGUGGGGACGGGCUGGCUUGAGUGCAGUAGGGGAGGCUGGAAGUCCAGGUGUAGCGGUGGAAGGCGCAGAUAUCAUGAGGAAUACCGGUGGCGAAGGCGGGUCUCUGGGCUGUUACUGACACUGAGGAGCGAAAGCAUGGGGAGCGAACAGG
RNAcentral lists this ribosomal RNA (419 nucleotides) under bacterium. RNAcentral describes it as "partial 16S ribosomal RNA". It matches the Rfam family "Bacterial small subunit ribosomal RNA", at positions 355 to 776 of the family's 1533-position model. The record is from RNAcentral.